This 480-nucleotide ribosomal RNA is filed under the name uncultured bacterium. RNAcentral describes it as "bacterial SSU rRNA". It matches the Rfam family "Bacterial small subunit ribosomal RNA", at positions 29 to 506 of the family's 1533-position model. The record is from RNAcentral.
UUGAACGCUGGCGGCAUGCCUUACACAUGCAAGUCGAACGGUAACAGGUCUUCGGAUGCUGACGAGUGGCGAACGGGUGAGUAAUACAUCGGAACGUGCCCGAUCGUGGGGGAUAACGCAGCGAAAGCUGUGCUAAUACCGCAUACGAUCUACGGAUGAAAGCAGGGGACCGCAAGGCCUUGCGCGGACGGAGCGGCCGAUGGCAGAUUAGGUAGUUGGUGGGAUAAAAGCUUACCAAGCCGACGAUCUGUAGCUGGUCUGAGAGGACGACCAGCCACACUGGGACUGAGACACGGCCCAGACUCCUACGGGAGGCAGCAGUGGGGAAUUUUGGACAAUGGGCGAAAGCCUGAUCCAGCCAUGCCGCGUGAGUGAAGAAGGCCUUCGGGUUGUAAAGCUCUUUCAGCCGGAAAGAAAUCGCGCAGGCUAAUACUCUGCGUGGAUGACGGUACCGGAAGAAGAAGCACCGGCUAACUACGU